This 247-nucleotide ribosomal RNA is filed under the name uncultured bacterium. RNAcentral describes it as "partial 16S ribosomal RNA". It matches the Rfam family "Bacterial small subunit ribosomal RNA", at positions 523 to 769 of the family's 1533-position model. The record is from RNAcentral.
AUACGAAGGGGGCUAGCGUUGCUCGGAAUUACUGGGCGUAAAGCGCACGUAGGCGGGUCGUUAAGUCGGGGGUGAAAUCCUGGAGCUCAACUCCAGAACUGCCUUCGAUACUGGCGAUCUCGAGUCCGGGAGAGGUGAGUGGAACUCCGAGUGUAGAGGUGAAAUUCGUAGAUAUUCGGAGGAACACCAGUGGCGAAGGCGGCUUACUGGUCCAUUACUGACGCUGAGGUGCGAAAGCGUGGGGAGC